Molecule: ribosomal RNA, 497 nt
Filed under: uncultured bacterium
Lineage: Bacteria
Description: partial 16S ribosomal RNA
Rfam family: Bacterial small subunit ribosomal RNA
Source: RNAcentral
GAUGAACGCUGGCGGCGUGCUUAAUACAUGCAAGUCGAGCGAACAGACGAGGCGCUUGUUGCUCUGACGUUAGCGGAGGACGGGUGUGUAACACGUGUAUAAUCUACCUAUAAGACUGGUAUAACUUCGGGACACCGGCGCUAAUCCCGGAUAAUAUAUUGAACCGUAUGGUUGAUUAGUAAAGGUCGGUUUUGCUGUCACUUCUCGCUGGAUCCGCGCCGCAUUAGCUAGUUGGUAGGGUAACGGCUUUCCAAGGCAACGAUGCGUAGCCGACCUGAGAGGGUGAUCGGCCACACUGGAACUGGGACACGGUCCAGACUCCUACGGGAGGCAGCAGUAGGGAAUCGGACGCAAUGGGGGGAAGCUUUACGGAGCAACGCCGCGUGAGAGAUGGAGGUCUUCGGUUCGUAAAACUCUGUUUUGAGUGAAGAACAAAUGUGUAAUUAAAUGUGCACGGCUUGACGGUACCGGAUCAGAAAGCAACGGCUAACUACGUG